RNAcentral lists this ribosomal RNA (459 nucleotides) under uncultured bacterium. Its description in RNAcentral is "partial 16S ribosomal RNA". It matches the Rfam family "Bacterial small subunit ribosomal RNA", at positions 339 to 795 of the family's 1533-position model. The record is from RNAcentral.
CUACGGGCGGCUCCAGUGAGGAAUAUUGGACAAUGGUCGAAAGACUGAUCCAGCCAUGCCGCGUGCAGGAUGACUGCCCUAUGGGUUGUAAACUGCUUUUAUACGGGAAGAAAAACACCUACGUGCAGGUGACUGACGGUACCGUAAGAAUAAGGACCGGCUAACUCCGUGCCAGCAGCCGCGGUAAUACGGAGGGUCCAAGCGUUAUCCGGAAUCAUUGGGUUUAAAGGGUCCGUAGGCGGGCUAUUAAGUCAGAGGUGAAAGUUUGCAGCUCAACUGUAAAAUUGCCUUUGAUACUGAUAGUCUUGAAUUGUAGUGAAGUGGUUAGAAUAUGUGGUGUAGCGGUGAAAUGCAUAGAUAUCACAUAGAAUACCGAUUGCGAAGGCAGAUCACUAACUAUACAUUGACGCUGAGGGACGAAAGCGUGGGGAGCGAACGGGAUUAGAUACCCCCGUAGUC